This 686-nucleotide unclassified non-coding RNA is filed under the name Hevea brasiliensis (rubber tree). The record is from RNAcentral. Lineage: Eukaryota; Viridiplantae; Streptophyta; Magnoliopsida; Malpighiales; Euphorbiaceae.
GUUAAGUGGUGCCUUUUGGGUGGAAUUUUGAAGGUUUUGGAUUAAAAUCGAACCCAUAGAAGAAGGGAAAAUCAGAAUUUGGGGGCUAGCAGAGUUGCAUUGAUAAAUGAUAAUUUACAAAACCCAUGAACAGUACCUGGGUUUUCCUUGAAGGAGCAGAACUAUCAGCAUACUAUUCUGGACGCAUAAAAUUGAGAGCCUUAGACCAAAAUACUAGAAUGGAUUGAUUCUUGAGGCUGUAUUUUCUUGACGCCCUUUUUUUCUACAUCAAAAUGCUUUGAUUCUUCAUUAUCAUGGCUGAUAAAGUUAUUGACUCGCCUUAGUAAAGUCUUCAUUUUUUUGGCGUUUUUUUAUUUGGCAUUGUUUGCUUUUGUAGGGAAAGGCAACUUCAAUUGUAAUAGCAGUCCAGUCCUUGCUCCCCAUGCCAGCCUGGGACAUGUGUUCUGGUCCUUGACAAUGAUAGGACGGAACAAUUAUAGCAUUCGAGUUGAAUAAGGACACGAUUAGUGUUGACAAGACACUGUCAGACUCCUUGGUGCCAGUAGUAUCCUGUCUGUUGUGCCUUUUAACCUUUGCUUGAGAUUGCUUUCUUGCAGGGAUUGAAAGAUGAUUACAAGUGUGAUUAUCUCAAGGGCAUAGACACAUGGACAUAUCAUAUCAGCCUCACAAAAAAAAAAAAAACCCAG